GACGAACGCUGGCGGCAUGCCUAACACAUGCAAGUCGAACGGAGAUAUUUAGAAGCUUGCUUUUGGAUACCUUAGUGGCGGACGGGCGAGUAACGCGUGAGCAACCUGCCCCGCAGUGGGGAAUAACGGCUGGAAACGGCCGCUAAUACCGCAUAACAUCGAGGGAUUGCAUGAUUCUUCGAUCAAAGGAGCAAUUCGCUGAGGGAUGGGCUCGCGUCCGAUUAGCUAGUUGGUGAGGUAACGGCUCACCAAGGCGACGAUCGGUAGCCGAACUGAGAGGUUGAUCGGCCGCAUUGGGACUGAGACACGGCCCAG
Molecule: ribosomal RNA, 315 nt
Filed under: uncultured bacterium
Lineage: Bacteria
Description: bacterial SSU rRNA
Rfam family: Bacterial small subunit ribosomal RNA
Source: RNAcentral